This 502-nucleotide ribosomal RNA is filed under the name uncultured bacterium. RNAcentral's name for it is "bacterial SSU rRNA". It matches the Rfam family "Bacterial small subunit ribosomal RNA", at positions 791 to 1299 of the family's 1533-position model. The record is from RNAcentral.
UAGUCUACGCCGUAAACGAUGGAUACUAGUUGUUUGAUCUUCGGAUUGAGUGACUAAGCGAAAGUGAUAAGUAUCCCACCUGGGGAGUACGUUCGCAAGAAUGAAACUCAAAGGAAUUGACGGGGGCCCGCACAAGCGGUGGAGCAUGUGGUUUAAUUCGAUGAUACGCGAGGAACCUUACCAGGGCUUAAAUGUAGUCUGACAGCUUUAGAGAUAGAGUUUUCUUCGGACAGAUUACAAGGUGCUGCAUGGUUGUCGUCAGCUCGUGCCGUGAGGUGCCAGGUUAAGUCCUAUAACGAGCGCAACCCCUGUUGUUAGUUGCCAGCGAGUCAAGUCGGGAACUCUAACAAGACUGCCAGUGCAAACCGCGAGGAAGGUGGGGAUGACGUCAAAUCAUCACGGCCCUUACGUCCUGGGCCACACACGUGCUACAAUGGUAGGGACAGAGAGCAGCCACAAUGCGAAUUGGAGCGAAUCUAUAAACCCUAUCUCAGUUCGGAUC